This 770-nucleotide long non-coding RNA is filed under the name Ursus maritimus (polar bear). RNAcentral describes it as "lncRNA (ENSUMAG00000023695.1)". Lineage: Eukaryota; Metazoa; Chordata; Mammalia; Carnivora; Ursidae. The record is from RNAcentral.
CAAGAGGUGCCCCUGCUCGAGCCCCUGGUGUGCAAGAAGAUCGCCCAGGAGCGGCUCACGGUCCUUCUCUUCCUGGAGGACUGCAUCAUCACCGCCUGCCAGGAGGGCCUCAUCUGUACCUGGGCCCGGCCGGGCACGGCGUUCACAGACGAGGAGGCCGAGGCCCAGACAGGGGAAGGAAGUUGGCCCAGGUCACCCAGCAAGUCAGUGGUAGAGGGCAUCUCUUCCCAACCAGGCAACUCCCCGAGCGGCACAGUGGUGUGAAGCCAUGGAUGUCGGGGUCCCCCCCUCCAUGUUCCCCGCCUCCUAGCCAUAACCCUCCCGCUGACCUCAUGGAUCAACGUAUUAACAAGACUAACCAUGACGGAUGGACUGCUCCAGUCCCUUGCCCUGCACAUAUUUGGGGGUCAGAGGGUCCCCCAGACUGGCCCAGACACACGGGGGGAUGUAGUGGCCCGUGCGGCCUCAGCCUUGUCCCCACCCACUGCCAAGUACAAUGACCCCUUCCUCUGAAACAUCAGUGUUCGCCUCAUCCCUGUCCCCAGCAUGUGACUGGUCACUCCUGGGGGAGAAACCCCCCACCCACAAGCUCUGCAGUGUGCCCCUCAUCCUGGGGUCAGGGCCGGGGUGGCCCACCCCUCCCCUGGCCCCCCACCCUGCCCUCGCUGUUGUUUGUGCUUUUGAAGAGUGUUAAAUUAUGGAAGCCCCUCGGGGCCCUCCCUGUCCCCCAGGACCUCUUAUUUAUACUAAAGUUCCCUGUUUUCACAGUG